GGAGUUGUGGUUCAGUGCCAGAACAUCUACUUGGCAUGUAGACGGUCCCGGGUUCAAUUCCUGGCAUCUUUA
RNAcentral lists this transfer RNA (72 nucleotides) under Sphaerodactylus townsendi. RNAcentral describes it as "tRNA-Ala". It matches the Rfam family "tRNA". From Rfam's summary of the family: Transfer RNA (tRNA) molecules are approximately 80 nucleotides in length. Their secondary structure includes four short double-helical elements and three loops (D, anti-codon, and T loops). Lineage: Eukaryota; Metazoa; Chordata; Lepidosauria; Squamata; Sphaerodactylidae. The record is from RNAcentral.